AUUGAACGCUGGCGGCAUGCCUUACACAUGCAAGUCGAACGGCAGCACGGGAGCAAUCCUGGUGGCGAGUGGCGAACGGGUGAGUAAUAUAUCGGAACGUGCCCAGUCGUGGGGGAUAACGUAGCGAAAGCUACGCUAAUACCGCAUACGAUCUAUGGAUGAAAGCGGGGGAUCGCAAGACCUCGCGCGAUUGGAGCGGCCGAUAUCAGAUUAGGUAGUUGGUGAGGUAAAGGCUCACCAAGCCGACGAUCUGUAGCUGGUCUGAGAGGACGACCAGCCACACUGGGACUGAGACACGGCCCAGACUCCUACGGGAGGCAGCAGUGGGGAAUUUUUGGACAAUGGGCGCAAGCCUGAUCCAGCAAUGCCGCGUGCAGGAUGAAGGCCUUCGGUGUAACUAGCUUUGUAC
Molecule: ribosomal RNA, 409 nt
Filed under: uncultured bacterium
Lineage: Bacteria
Description: bacterial SSU rRNA
Rfam family: Bacterial small subunit ribosomal RNA
Source: RNAcentral